AGGGCACCACCAGGAGUGGAGCCUGCGGCUUAAUUUGACUCAACACGGGAAAUCUCACCAGGCCCGGACACUGGAAGGAUUGACAGAUUGAGAGCUCUUUCUCGAUUCGGUGGGUGGUGGUGCAUGGCCGUUCUUAGUUGGUGGAGUGAUUUGUCUGGUUAAUUCCGAUAACGAACGAGACUCUGUCCUGCUAAAUAGUUCCCGCGUCCUUUGUUGCGCGGGAAAUUCUUCUUAGAGGGACUGGCGGCGUCUAGCCGCACGAGAUUGAGCAAUAACAGGUCUGCGAUGCCCUUAGAUGUUCUGGGCCGCACGCGCGCUACACUGAAGGGAUCAGCGUGUCUUCCCUUCCCGAGAGGGACGGGUAACCCGCUGAACCCCCUUCGUGGUAGGGAUCGGGGCUUGCAAUUAUUCCCCGUGAACCAGGAAUUCCCAGUAAGCGCAAGUCAUAAGCUUGCGUUGAUUACGUCCCUGCCCUUUGUACACACCGCCCGUCGCUACUACCGAUUGAACGUUUUAGUG
Molecule: ribosomal RNA, 519 nt
Filed under: uncultured eukaryote
Lineage: Eukaryota
Description: SSU rRNA
Rfam family: Eukaryotic small subunit ribosomal RNA
Source: RNAcentral